GAUGAACGCUGGCGGCGUGCCUAAUACAUGCCAGUCGAGCGAACGGACGAGAAGCUUGCUUCUCUGAUGUUAGCGGCGGACGGGUGAGUAACACGUGGAUAACCUACCUAUAAGACUGGGAUAACUUCGGGAAACCGGAGCUAAUACCGGAUAAUAUUUUGAACCGCAUGGUUCAAAAGUGAAAGACGGUCUUGCUGUCACUUAUAGAUGGAUCCGCGCUGCAUUAGCUAGUUGGUAAGGUAACGGCUUACCAAGGCAACGAUGCAUAGCCGACCUGAGAGGGUGAUCGGCCACACUGGAACUGAGACACGGUCCAGACUCCUACGGGAGGCAGCAGUAGGGAAUCUUCCGCAAUGGGCGAAAGCCUGACGGAGCAACGCCGCGUGAGUGAUGAAGGUCUUCGGAUCGUAAAACUCUGUUAUUAGGGAAGAACAUAUGUGUAAGUAACUGUGCACAUCUUGACGGUACCUAAUAAGAAAGCCACGGCUAACUACGUG
Molecule: ribosomal RNA, 497 nt
Filed under: uncultured bacterium
Lineage: Bacteria
Description: partial 16S ribosomal RNA
Rfam family: Bacterial small subunit ribosomal RNA
Source: RNAcentral